UGCGGGAUGGAGCAGUCUGGUAGCUUGUUAGGCUCAUAACCUAAAGGUCGUUGGUUCAAAUCCAGCUCCCGCAUCUA
This 77-nucleotide transfer RNA is filed under the name Acinetobacter haemolyticus. Its description in RNAcentral is "tRNA-Met". It matches the Rfam family "tRNA". From Rfam's summary of the family: Transfer RNA (tRNA) molecules are approximately 80 nucleotides in length. Their secondary structure includes four short double-helical elements and three loops (D, anti-codon, and T loops). Lineage: Bacteria; Pseudomonadati; Pseudomonadota; Gammaproteobacteria; Moraxellales; Moraxellaceae. The record is from RNAcentral.